RNAcentral lists this small RNA (555 nucleotides) under Pan troglodytes (chimpanzee). RNAcentral's name for it is "retained intron". Lineage: Eukaryota; Metazoa; Chordata; Mammalia; Primates; Hominidae. The record is from RNAcentral.
CUGAUUCAGAAAGAGAAACUGCUCCUCCUCCACCCUGGCUCUUUCUAAAGCAGAAGUAUUAAUAUAUUUAAUCUUCUACAGGAUAUUCAAAUAGAAGCCUUGCUGAUGAGAGCCUGUGAGCCCAUAAUUCAGAACUUCUGCCACGAUGUGGCAGAUAACCAGAUAGACUCUGGGGACCUGAUGGAGUGUCUGAUACAGAACAAACACCAGAAGGACAUGAACGAGAAGUGUGCCAUCGGAGUCACCCACUUCCAGCUGGUGCAGAUGAAGGAUUUUCGGUUUUCUUACAAGUUUAAAAUGGCCUGCAAGGAGGACGUGUUGAAGCUUUGCCCAAACAUAAAAAAGAAGGUGGACGUGGUGAUCUGCCUGAGCACGACCGUGCGUAAUGACACUCUGCAGGAAGCCAAGGAGCACAGGGUGUCCCUGAAGUGCCGCAGGCAGCUCCGCGUGGAGGAGCUGGAGAUGACGGAGGACAUUCGCUUGGAGCCAGAUCUAUACGAAGCCUGCAAGAGUGACAUCAAAAACUUCUGUUCCACUGUGCAAUAUGGCAACGCU